GAGUUUGAUCCUGGCUCAGAUUGAACGCUGGCGGCAGGCCUAACACAUGCAAGUCGAGCGGUAGAGAGAAGCUUGCUUCUCUUGAGAGCGGCGGACGGGUGAGUAAUGCCUAGGAAUCUGCCUGGUAGUGGGGGAUAACGCUCGGAAACGGACGCUAAUACCGCAUACGUCCUACGGGAGAAAGCAGGGGACCUUCGGGCCUUGCGCUAUCAGAUGAGCCUAGGUCGGAUUAGCUAGUUGGUGAGGUAAUGGCUCACCAAGGCGACGAUCCGUAACUGGUCUGAGAGGAUGAUCAGUCACACUGGAACUGAGACACGGUCCAGACUCCUACGGGAGGCAGCAGUAGGGGAAUAUUAGGACAAGUGGGACGAAAGCCUGA
This 379-nucleotide ribosomal RNA is filed under the name uncultured bacterium. RNAcentral's name for it is "bacterial SSU rRNA". It matches the Rfam family "Bacterial small subunit ribosomal RNA", at positions 9 to 386 of the family's 1533-position model. The record is from RNAcentral.